UACGUAGGGGGCAAGCGUUGUCCGGAAUCAUUGGGCGUAAAGAGCGUGUAGGCGGCCCUAUAAGUCCGCUGUGAAAGCUCGAGGCUCAACUUCGAGCUGUCGGUGGAAACUUUCGGGCUAGAGUCCGGAAGAGGAGAAUGGAAUUCCUGGUGUAGCGGUGAAAUGCGCAGAUAUCAGGAAGAACACCCGUGGCGAAGGCGGUUCUCUGGGACGGUACUGACGCUGAGACGCGAAAGCGUGGGGAGCGAACAGG
This 253-nucleotide ribosomal RNA is filed under the name uncultured bacterium. RNAcentral's name for it is "partial 16S ribosomal RNA". It matches the Rfam family "Bacterial small subunit ribosomal RNA", at positions 524 to 776 of the family's 1533-position model. The record is from RNAcentral.